AGCGUACACGGUGGAUGCCCUGGCAGUCAGAGGCGAUGAAGGACGUGCUAAUCUGCGAUAAGCGUCGGUAAGGUGAUAUGAACCGUUAUAACCGGCGAUUUCCGAAUGGGGAAACCCAGUGUGAUUCGUCACACUAUCAUUAACUGAAUCCAUAGGUUAAUGAGGCGAACCGGGGGAACUGAAACAUCUAAGUACCCCGAGGAAAAGAAAUCAACCGAGAUUCCCCCAGUAGCGGCGAGCGAACGGGGAGCAGCCCAGAGCCUGAAUCAGUGUGUGUGUUAGUGGAAGCGUCUGGAAAGGCGCGCGAUACAGGGUGACAGCCCCGUACACAAAAAUGCACAUGCUGUGAGCUCGAUGAGUAGGGCGGGACACGUGGUAUCCUGUCUGAAUAUGGGGGGACCAUCCUCCAAGGCUAAAUACUCCUGACUGACCGAUAGUGAACCAGUACCGUGAGGGAAAGGCGAAAAGAACCCCGGCGAGGGGAGUGAAAAAGAACCUGAAACCGUGUACGUACAAGCAGUGGGAGCACAGAGCAAUCUGUGUGACUGCGUACCUUUUGUAUAAUGGGUCAGCGACUUAUAUUCUGUAGCAAGGUUAACCGAAUAGGGGAGCCGAAGGGAAACCGAGUCUUAACUGGGCGUUAAGUUGCAGGGUAUAGACCCGAAACCCGGUGAUCUAGCCAUGGGCAGGUUGAAGGUUGGGUAACACUAACUGGAGGACCGAACCGACUAAUGUUGAAAAAUUAGCGGAUGACUUGUGGCUGGGGGUGAAAGGCCAAUCAAACCGGGAGAUAGCUGGUUCUCCCCGAAAGCUAUUUAGGUAGCGCCUCGUGAAUUCAUCUCCGGGGGUAGAGCACUGUUUCGGCAAGGGGGUCAUCCCGACUUACCAACCCGAUGCAAACUGCGAAUACCGGAGAAUGUUAUCACGGGAGACACACGGCGGGUGCUAACGUCCGUCGUGAAGAGGGAAACAACCCAGACCGCCAGCUAAGGUCCCAAAGUCAUGGUUAAGUGGGAAACGAUGUGGGAAGGCCCAGACAGCCAGGAUGUUGGCUUAGAAGCAGCCAUCAUUUAAAGAAAGCGUAAUAGCUCACUGGUCGAGUCGGCCUGCGCGGAAGAUGUAACGGGGCUAAACCAUGCACCGAAGCUGCGGCAGCGACGCUUAUGCGUUGUUGGGUAGGGGAGCGUUCUGUAAGCCUGCGAAGGUGUGCUGUGAGGCAUGCUGGAGGUAUCAGAAGUGCGAAUGCUGACAUAAGUAACGAUAAAGCGGGUGAAAAGCCCGCUCGCCGGAAGACCAAGGGUUCCUGUCCAACGUUAAUCGGGGCAGGGUGAGUCGACCCCUAAGGCGAGGCCGAAAGGCGUAGUCGAUGGGAAACAGGUUAAUAUUCCUGUACUUGGUGUUACUGCGAAGGGGGGACGGAGAAGGCUAUGUUGGCCGGGCGACGGUUGUCCCGGUUUAAGCGUGUAGGCUGGUUUUCCAGGCAAAUCCGGAAAAUCAAGGCUGAGGCGUGAUGACGAGGCACUACGGUGCUGAAGCAACAAAUGCCCUGCUUCCAGGAAAAGCCUCUAAGCAUCAGGUAACAUCAAAUCGUACCCCAAACCGACACAGGUGGUCAGGUAGAGAAUACCAAGGCGCUUGAGAGAACUCGGGUGAAGGAACUAGGCAAAAUGGUGCCGUAACUUCGGGAGAAGGCACGCUGAUAUGUAGGUGAAGUCCCUCGCGGAUGGAGCUGAAAUCAGUCGAAGAUACCAGCUGGCUGCAACUGUUUAUUAAAAACACAGCACUGUGCAAACACGAAAGUGGACGUAUACGGUGUGACGCCUGCCCGGUGCCGGAAGGUUAAUUGAUGGGGUCAGCGCAAGCGAAGCUCUUGAUCGAAGCCCCGGUAAACGGCGGCCGUAACUAUAACGGUCCUAAGGUAGCGAAAUUCCUUGUCGGGUAAGUUCCGACCUGCACGAAUGGCGUAAUGAUGGCCAGGCUGUCUCCACCCGAGACUCAGUGAAAUUGAACUCGCUGUGAAGAUGCAGUGUACCCGCGGCAAGACGGAAAGACCCCGUGAACCUUUACUAUAGCUUGACACUGAACAUUGAGCCUUGAUGUGUAGGAUAGGUGGGAGGCUUUGAAGUGUGGACGCCAGUCUGCAUGGAGCCGACCUUGAAAUACCACCCUUUAAUGUUUGAUGUUCUAACGUUGACCCGUAAUCCGGGUUGCGGACAGUGUCUGGUGGGUAGUUUGACUGGGGCGGUCUCCUCCUAAAGAGUAACGGAGGAGCACGA
Molecule: ribosomal RNA, 2276 nt
Filed under: Escherichia coli
Lineage: Bacteria; Pseudomonadati; Pseudomonadota; Gammaproteobacteria; Enterobacterales; Enterobacteriaceae
Description: bacterial LSU rRNA
Rfam family: Bacterial large subunit ribosomal RNA
Source: RNAcentral